GAUGAACGCUGGCGGCGUGCCUAAUACAUGCAAGUCGAGCGAACAGACGAGGAGCUUGCUCCUCUGACGUUAGCGGCGGACGGGUGAGUAACACGUGGAUAACCUACCUAUAAGACUGGGAUAACUUCGGGAAACCGGAGCUAAUACCGGAUAAUAUAUUGAACCGCAUGGUUCAAUAGUGAAAGACGGUUUUGCUGUCACUUAUAGAUGGUUCCGCGCCGCAUUAGCUAGUUGGUAAGGUAACGGCUUACCAAGGCAACGAUGCGUAGCCGACCUGAGAGGGUGAUCGGCCACACUGGAACUGAGACACGGUCCAGACUCCUACGGGAGGCAGCAGUAGGGAAUCUUCCGCAAUGGGCGAAAGCCUGACGGAGCAACGCCGCGUGAGUGAUGAAGGUCUUCGGAUCGUAAAACUCUGUUAUUAGGGAAGAACAAAUGUGUAAGAAACUAUGCACGUCUUGACGGUACCUAAUCAGAAAGCCACGGCUAACUACGUG
This 497-nucleotide ribosomal RNA is filed under the name uncultured bacterium. RNAcentral's name for it is "partial 16S ribosomal RNA". It matches the Rfam family "Bacterial small subunit ribosomal RNA", at positions 28 to 507 of the family's 1533-position model. The record is from RNAcentral.